AACGAACGCUGGCGGCAUGCCUAACACAUGCAAGUCGAACGAGACCUUCGGGUCUAGUGGCGCACGGGUGCGUAACGCGUGGGAACCUGCCCUUAGGUUCGGAAUAACUCACCGAAAGGGGUGCUAAUACCGGAUAAUGUCUUCGGACCAAAGAUUUAUCGCCUUUGGAUGGGCCCGCGUUGGAUUAGCUAGUUGGUAGGGUAAAAGCCUACCAAGGCGACGAUCCAUAGCUGGUCUGAGAGGAUGAUCAGCCACACUGGGACUGAGACACGGCCCAGACUCCUACGGGAGGCAGCAGUGGGGAAUAUUGGACAAUGGGCGAAAGCCUGAUCCAGCAAUGCCGCGUGAGUGAUGAAGGCCUUAGUGUUGUAAAGCUCUUUUACCCGGGAUGAUAAUGACAGUACCGGGAGAAUAAGCUCCGGCUAACUCCGUG
Molecule: ribosomal RNA, 433 nt
Filed under: uncultured bacterium
Lineage: Bacteria
Description: partial 16S ribosomal RNA
Rfam family: Bacterial small subunit ribosomal RNA
Source: RNAcentral